AGUAAAUAAUAGAUUUGAAAUAAUUAUAAAAUAGAAUUAACGAGAUAAUUAUGGAUUAUAAAAUAUCAUAAAAAUGAUAAAGUUAUUAAUAGAAAUAGGUUACUAAUUAAAUUAUAAAAAUUUAUAAAACCUAAGGGAAACCUACAAAUAAGAUAUAUACUAAGUGAACUGAAACAUCUAAGUAACUUAAGGAAAAUAAAUCAACAGAGAUAUUAUAAGUAUUGGUGAGAGAAAGUAAUAUAAUAUAUAUAUUAAUAAAAUAAUAUAUAUAUAUUAGGAGCCCGGCCCCCGUGGGGGCCGGGCGACCUCAUAGUCAAUAAAGUAUUAUGUACAAUAAAUAUAAGAACAAUAAAUUAAUAAUAAAAUAUUAAUUAAAUAAGGAUUAACAAAUUCUAAGACUAAAUACUAUUAAUAAAUAUAAAGAGUACCGUAAGGGAAAAUAUGAAGUAAUUAUUUUAUAAGCAAUCAAUUUAUUUAAUAAUAAAUAAUAUGAUGUACCUUUUGUAUAAUGGGUCAGCAAGUUAUUAAUAAUUGCAAAAUAUAUAAAUUAAAUAUAAAUAGAAAUAUAAAUAUUAAUCAAUAAAUUAAUUAUAAUUUAUAUCCAAAUUAUAUUUGGAUAUAAAAAGUAGAGUAAAUAUUAAUAGACCCGAAAGCAGAUGAUCUUACCUUGAUAAGAUGUAAUAACGAUCGAACAAGUUGAUGUAGCAAAAUCAUUUGAAUAAUUGAGGUAAGUAAGUGAAAGACAAAUCUGAUCUGCAGAUAGCUGGUUUUCUAUGAAAUAUAUGUAAGUAUAGCCUUUAUUUUUAUAUAAUAUUAUUUGAUUAUUAAUUAAUUAAAUAAGGAUGGUAUAGCAAUUAAUAUAUUUUUGUAUAUCAAAAAGUAUUAAAUCUCAAAAUAUUAUGUUAUAUAGAGUAAGGAGUCAGAUUAUAUGCGAUAAGGUAAAUAAUCUAAAGGGAAACAGCCCAGAUUAAGAUAUAAAGUUCCUAAUAAAUAUUAAGUGAAAAUAAUAUUAUAAUAUUAAAAUAUAUUCAGUUAAUGGGUUUGACAAUAACCAUUUUUUAAUGAACAUGUAACAAUGCACUGAUUAAUCAAUAAUGAUAUUAAAAAUCAUAUAUAUAUAUAUAAAAAAAUAUAUAUGUUAAUAAAUAAUAUACGGAUCUAAAAUAUUAAACUGAAUAUCUAAAUAUUAUAUAAAAUAAUAUAAUAUGGUAAUAGAACAUUUAAUGAAGAGAUAUAUUAAUUAAUAAUUAAUAUAUAAUAAUAAUUAAAUAGAGAAUGCUGACAUGAGUAACGAUAAAAAAGUAUAAACUUUUUCACCUAAAGCAUAAGGUUUUACUAUAAAAGUACGGCCCCUAAUAUAGAAAUAUCUAAAGAUAUAAAUAGAUGGGAUAAUCUAAAUUAACAAUAACCCUGACCCUCACCAGGAUAUCCAGAUAUCCGGAGGGUCUGGGGAGAAAUAUAAUGAAAUAUAUAUUAUAAAAAAUAUAUAUAAAUAAUAUCAGGAAAAAAGUUAAAGAAUACCGUAAUGAAGACCGACUCAGGUAUGCAAGUAGAGAAUAUGAAGGUGUAUUGGAUAAUUAAGGAUAAGGAACUCGGCAAAAAUAGAUCAAAAAUUAGAUAUGAUAAUUAAGAACAAAGUUGUACAACUGUUUAAUAAAAACACAGCACUUUGCAGAAAUGAUAAAUUAAAGUAUAAGGUGUGAACUCUGCUCCAUGUUCAUUAUCUAAAUAAUAUGAUUGAAAGAUUAUAUUACUAAAUAAGAAUAAAUAGCAGCCUUAUUAUGAGGGUUAUAAUGUAGCGAAAUACCUUGGCCACUAAAUAUGGUCCCGCAUGAAUGACGUAAUGAUACAACAACUGUCUCGUCCUUAAGCCAAGUGAAAUUGAACUGGUAGUGAAGAUGCUAUCUAGGUAUAGUUAGACAAAAAGACCCUAUGCAGCUUUACUAUAAUUAGACAACUUGAUUAAUUAUUGAUUAUAUUUAGAAUAUUAAGUAAUUGAUUAAAUAUAAUAUGAAAUACUUAUUGUAAUUAUAUAAUUAUUCUUAUCCCAUAUAAUUAAAUAUUAAUAUAUAUUAUGUAUAUUAAUAAGGGAGACAGGUUCUAAUUGGUAGUUUGAAUGGGAUGUUCUUUUCAGCAAAUUUAUCUGAUAAAGUCCAUAUAUAAUAAAUUAAAUUAACAAAUAAAAUAUAUUAAUAAAUAUAUUAAUUAUAAAAAUAUUAAUUAAAAAUUAAUAAAUAAUAGAAAAGAUAAUGUAUAGUUAAAUUAUCAAGAAAAUAAUAAUAUUAACCAAUAUAAAGGGUUAAAGUAAAUAAAUAUAAUAGUAUAACUAUGCUAUAAUUGUAAUACAAACAAGUAGAACAAGUACGUAAGUAUGGUAUAAUGAACAAAUAAUACUAAUUGUAAGGAUUAUUGAUAACGAAUAAAAGUUACGCUAGGGAUAACAGGGUAAUAUAACGAAAGAGUAGAAAUUGUAAGUUAUGUUUGCCACCUCGAUGUCGACUCAACCUAUCCUCUUGGUUGUAACAGCUAAGAAGGGUUUGACUGUUCGUCAAUUAAAAGGUUACGUGAGUUGGGUUAAAUACGAUGUGAAUCAGUAUGGUUUUUAUCUACUAUAUCUAAUAUUAUCAAAUUAAAUCUCAUUAUUAGUACGCAAGGAUCAUAAUGAAUUAACCUAUGGUGUAUUUAUUAAUAAUUAAUUAAAAUAUUAAUUGUUACUGUAAAGAAGCUAAGUUAAUAAAUAAUAAAUAUUGAAAACAUAUUAAAUAUGAAGUAGUUUUAAUUAGAUAAAUAUAUUGAUCAUUUUAGACUAAAAUGAAAUUUUAUAUCAUAUAUUAUGAUAUUAAAUAAUAGUAUUUAGUUAUAUUUCUAACUAUAUGUAUACUAAUUAAUCAAUUGUCUAUUUUAUAUC
This 2908-nucleotide ribosomal RNA is filed under the name Monosporozyma servazzii. Its description in RNAcentral is "Kazachstania servazzii 21S ribosomal RNA". It matches the Rfam family "Bacterial large subunit ribosomal RNA". The record is from RNAcentral. Lineage: Eukaryota; Fungi; Ascomycota; Saccharomycetes; Saccharomycetales; Saccharomycetaceae.